RNAcentral lists this small RNA (996 nucleotides) under uncultured beta proteobacterium. RNAcentral's name for it is "bacterial SSU rRNA". The stretch from base 1 to 468 matches the Rfam family "Bacterial small subunit ribosomal RNA", at positions 1064 to 1533 of the family's 1533-position model. Lineage: Bacteria; Pseudomonadati; Pseudomonadota; Betaproteobacteria. The record is from RNAcentral.
GUCGUGAGAUGUUGGGUUAAGUCCCGCAACGAGCGCAACCCUUGUCAUUAGUUGCUACAUUCAGUUGGGCACUCUAAUGAGACUGCCGGUGACAAACCGGAGGAAGGUGGGGAUGACGUCAAGUCCUCAUGGCCCUUAUGGGUAGGGCUUCACACGUAAUACAAUGGCGCGUACAGAGGGUUGCCAAGGAGCGAUCUGGAGCCAAUCCCACUAAAGCGCGUCGUAGUCCGGAUUGCAGUCUGCAACUCGACUGCAUGAAGUCGGAAUCGCUAGUAAUCGCGGAUCAGCAUGUCGCGGUGAAUACGUUCCCGGGUCUUGUACACACCGCCCGUCACACCAUGGGAGUGGGUUUCACCAGAAGCCGGUCGCCUAACCGCAAGGGGGGCGCCGACCACGGUGAGAUUCAUGACUGGGGUGAAGUCGUAACAAGGUAGCCGUAUCGGAAGGUGCGGCUGGAUCACCUCCUUUCUAAGAUGGCGCUACUCAGUGCCCACCCUCUAUCGGCUGUUCCUUCGCGAAGCGCGGCGAGUCCGAGCCUUUUCAAUUCGACCUCAAGCUGGGUCUGUAGCUCAGUUGGUUAGAGCACCGUCUUGAUAAGGCGGGGGUCGAUGGUUCGAAUCCAUCCAGACCCACCAUCGGACCUGGCAGCUGCUCUUUAACAAUCCGGGAUAGAAGGUAAAGUUGUUUUCGUCUUGCGAGGCGCGUCGUGGUUUGGCGUGCGCGAGCGAGGCGAAGGCUAACUGGGUUAUGUAUUGCAUCGUGUCUUCAUUGGCGAGAGCCGGUGGGGAUGCAAGCACAAGCGUGAGAAUUUCCUAUUUCGUUGUGAUGCCUUGGGGGACUUUGCCCUGGGGUGCUUCGUGGUUUGAGGCAGCAAGGUUAUAGGGUCAAGCGAAUAAGUGCAUGUGGUGGAUGCCUUGGCGAUGAUAGGCGACGAAGGACGUGACAGCCUGCGAUAAGCUGCGGGGAGCCGGCAAAUGGGCUUUGAUCCGCAGAUUU